GGUGAACGCUGGCGGCGGGCCUAAUACAUGCAAGUCGAGCGAACGGACGAGAAGCUCGUUCUCUUGAGGGUAGCGGGGGACGGGCGAGUAAGACAUAGAUAACCUACUUAUUUGACGGGGGGAAUAUCGGGGAAACACUGCUACUACUGGCUGAUACUUUCAACGGCAUGGAUCAAAAGUUAAUGAGGGCUUUGCUGACUGAUAUAGCUGGAGUCGGGUUGCAUUAGCUAGUUGGUAAGGUAACGGCAUACCAAGGCAACGAUGCGUAGCUGACCUGAGAGGGUGAUCGGCCACACUGGAACUGAGACACGGUCCAGACUCCUACGGGAGGCAGCAGUAGGGAAUCUUGCGCAAUGGGCGAAAGCCUGAUCGAGCCACGCCGCGUGAGUGAAGAAGGUCUUCGGAUUGUAAAGCUCUGUUAUUGGGGAAGAAAAGAAGUGUGAGUAUCUCUGCCCGUCUUGACGGUACCUAAACAGAAAGCCACGGCUAACUUCGUG
Molecule: ribosomal RNA, 497 nt
Filed under: uncultured bacterium
Lineage: Bacteria
Description: partial 16S ribosomal RNA
Rfam family: Bacterial small subunit ribosomal RNA
Source: RNAcentral